Macaca mulatta (Rhesus monkey) is the source of this 1914-nucleotide long non-coding RNA. NCBI's taxonomy places the organism in Eukaryota, Metazoa, Chordata, Mammalia, Primates, Cercopithecidae. The record is from Ensembl.
GGACUGCCCUCACAGCCCAGCCGCAGGCCGAGUCCCGACCCGCCCCUCGGAAGCCGGAGCAGGCCUGUGCUGAUCGUGCUGCAUAGGAGGACGCGCCGUGGAACUCCCAUCGCUUCCGCACAGACGCUCUCACUCCAUCCAGCCACUAAUGCGAGGAUGGCAGCGUCUGAGCGUCUGCGUGGGAUGGGCCCCGUGAACGCGCUCAGCGCUGCGAGGUGGCACCCAGGCUCCAGCCCAGAGCAACCAGGCGCAGCCGGACGUGCCAGAGGGCCGGGGCGUGUCCCCAGAGCCCCAGGGCCAGCGGGGCCCGGGCGGCAGAGGAGGAGCGCACAAUGCUCUCCACCAGCACUUCUGACUGAGAAACUCAAACGAGUUUCUGUUCCCUUUCCAGGACUUAGAACGAACAGAAAACCAAACAUUUCACCAGAGCCAUUUGCUUCUUCUCCAGGAAAACACCUGGCAGGACUUAUCUCCAGGGCCGCUAGCUGACUGCACAACGAAUGCACAAUGCACAACGGCGAGUCUUUCCAGAACCGUGCUCUUCUUGUCCCGAGCCCCACACCCCUGUCACAGACAGGAGGAGGAUGCUUCAAAGCUGCCACUGGAGACGGAGACAGCACAUGGUUGUUGUGGAAAAGUCUCUUUCAGGCAACACCUCUCCAUCAUCCACACCAGCCUGGCCUCACCAUCCCUGCUGCCGUACCCUCCCAGGCCUCCACUACCACUGGACCUCACGACUGGAGCAGCUUCCUAACCAGGGGGCCAGCCUGAGGCUGUUCCCCCAAAUUAUUUCCAUCUUUCCAACCACCUUUCUAAAGCAUUCCUUAGCUUAUACACAGGUAGAUAUUAACUGGAAGAUAAAAUCCAACUUAUUCAGCGUGAUGUUCCAAUCUCUUGACAGUCUUCCAACUGGAUCAAGGACCCAUUCAUUUUUGUCUCCUGAUGUCUGUCUUCCCUACCAGGCUUCAGGUAACAUUUAAGUAACUAUGCUUGUGAUUGCUUAAAAAUACAUUCAGGCCAGGCACGGUGGCUCAUGCCUGUAAUCCCAGCACUCUGGGAGGCUGAGACAGGCAGAUCACUUGAGGUCAGGAGUUCGAGACCAGCCUGGCCAACAUAGUAAAACCCUGAAAAAUACAAAAAUCAGCCCGGCAUGAUGGCGUCCACCUGUAGUCCCAGCUACUCGGGAGGCUGAGGCAGGAGAAUCACUUGAUCCUGGGAGGCGGAGGUUGCAGUGAGCUGAGAUGGUGUCACUGCACUCCAGCCUGGGGGACAGAACAAGACUCCAUCUCAAAAAAAAAAAAAAAAAGCUCAUGUUAUAAAAUCAUCUUCCCUACUAAAGAGCUCUUAUGCAAACAUGGGAUUUUACUGUAAGUCAGACGUAAUUGCAUAAAGUAAUGAAGAAAUCAAAAUUUACAUUCAAAUGACACACUAAUGAUAAGUCGUUUUUGGCUAUUCCUUAAUUCAGAAGGCUUCUCACCCUAUCCCCCUCUGAAACAUAACCUGUUUCAGGCCUCCUGCAGAUGCUUGUGGCCAAAACCACCUUAUUUACUUUUGUGGUGGCUGUUCUUGCUGGGGCUUCAUAAAUGUUGGUUGAAUCGAAAUAAAAUGAUGGUCCUUUCAUUUCUUUACUCAGAAAUAUUUACUUAUUACGUGGACCACAGAAUUCGGGACAGUUAUUGUGAGUAGUUCCUGAUUCUCUUUGUGUCUCGAGCACUUACAUAGAAACUAUUUUUCAAAUACGUGUGUAGUUAUUACAUACAAAUAAUACAUUAGAAAUUCAUUUUUAACAUUCAUAAAAUUCAGUAGAAUAUGAUCAUUGGAUAGUUUCACAAUCAAUGAAUUCUAAAGGCAAUGUAAACUUAUGAUCACAAUGGUUAUUAGGAUUUCCAUUUAUGUGGACUAGAUGUAGACUAG